This 366-nucleotide long non-coding RNA is filed under the name Lactuca sativa (garden lettuce). RNAcentral describes it as "long non-coding RNA (LSAT_LNC006266)". Lineage: Eukaryota; Viridiplantae; Streptophyta; Magnoliopsida; Asterales; Asteraceae. The record is from RNAcentral.
GGACACAAUCGUAAUUGGACUAGCAGCAGACUCAGGGUGUGGGAAAAGUACCUUCAUGAGAAGGUUGACCAGUGUGUUUGGAGGUGCAGCAGAGCCACCAAAGGGAGGGAAUCCUGAUUCCAACACACUGAUAAGUGACACAACGACAGUGAUAUGUUUGGAUGAUUAUCAUUCAUUGGAUAGAACAGGGAGGAAAGUGGAAGGGGUUACAGCAUUGGAUCCAAGAGCCAAUAAUUUUGAUCUUAUGUAUGAACAGGUUAAGGCUCUUAAAGAUGGUAUCGCUGUUGAUAAGCCUAUUUAUAACCAUGUCAGUGGUCUUUUGGAUCCCCCAGAGCUCAUCAAGCCCCCUAAGAUCCUUGUAAUUGA